RNAcentral lists this ribosomal RNA (441 nucleotides) under uncultured bacterium. RNAcentral's name for it is "partial 16S ribosomal RNA". It matches the Rfam family "Bacterial small subunit ribosomal RNA", at positions 338 to 795 of the family's 1533-position model. The record is from RNAcentral.
CCUACGGGAGGCAGCAGUGGGGAAUAUUGCACAAUGGGGGAAACCCUGAUGCAGCGACGCCGCGUGAGUGAAGAAGUAUUUCGGUAUGUAAAGCUCUAUCAGCAGGGAAGAAGAAAGACGGUACCUGACUAAGAAGCCCCGGCUAACUACGUGCCAGCAGCCGCGGUAAUACGUAGGGGGCAAGCGUUAUCCGGAUUUACUGGGUGUAAAGGGAGCGUAGACGGGUGUGUAAGGCUGAAGGGAAAGCCCAGGGCUCAAACCUGGGACUGCUGUGGAAACUGGGGGGCUAGAGUGCUGGAGAGGUAAGUGGAAUGCCUGGUGUAGCGGUGAAAUGCGUAGAUAUUAGGAAGAACUCCAGUGGCGAAGGCGGCUUACUGGACAGUAACUGACGUUGAGGCUCGAAAGCGUGGGGAGCAAACAGGAUUAGAUACCCUUGUAGUC